RNAcentral lists this ribosomal RNA (252 nucleotides) under uncultured bacterium. RNAcentral describes it as "partial 16S ribosomal RNA". It matches the Rfam family "Bacterial small subunit ribosomal RNA", at positions 524 to 776 of the family's 1533-position model. The record is from RNAcentral.
UACGGAGGAUGCGAGCGUUAUCCGGAUUUAUUGGGUUUAAAGGGUGCGUAGGCGGACUGUCAAGUCAGCGGUAAAAUUGAGGGGCUCAACCCCGUCGAGCCGUUGAAACUGGCAGACUUGAGUUGGCGAGAAGUACGCGGAAUGCGCGGUGUAGCGGUGAAAUGCAUAGAUAUCGCGCAGAACUCCGAUUGCGAAGGCAGCGUACCGGCGCCAGACUGACGCUGAGGCACGAAAGCGUGGGGAUCGAACAGG